AAAGAAGAGCGGAAAGUUCGGCGAAAUUACAUUGCCUUCCUCCUGGGCCCCACGCCCAGUUCAGCCCUUCUCACCCCCGCGAUCCAAAGUUUAUUCUGUCCACCAGUGUUACUGUCCCUCUGGCCCCGCUGUCUCCCCAGGACCCUGAGGUUCCCAGACACAGGGCUCCAGAAGCGCUUCCUGUGAUACCUGUCAGCGCAACCUUACAAUUGCGCUGCAGGCGCGGAUCCUCAGUCCGGGUGUGAAACCAGAACCACGCCGGUUGUGCUCGAGAUUUGGGAGAAGAAACGCCUUGGGUUCCCCAGCCCUUAAGGACAGAGUCCCUCACCGGCUAACAGUCUGGUACAAAGGGGGGAGGGCCCGCGACAGGCUGGAGGCCACUCCCGGGGCGGGGAUCACCUCCGGGUUCCCGCUCGGAGCUGCUCGUAAUUCGGGCUUCGGUCCUCGGGGGAAGAGUGCCUGUGAGGAAAGGAGACUUAAGAAACCUUCAGAUGCCCUCAGGAGGACCCGGGAGGAAGCGCCCAGGCGGACCCUGUGGUCGGCGGAGUUUAGCUCAGCCACUGCCAGACGGCGGAACCCUGAGCCGGGCGGUGGGAUUUUUUUGGGGGCCUCGCCAGCUUCUGCGUUCUGCUGAGGUGUGCGAAACGGGGGAAGAUAAAAUGCAGGAUUCUAUAUAUUCAAAAAAGGGAUUUUCGGUCUAAAUUGCCAUGGUCCAUGUUUUACUUUUGACGCACGCAGUGCCGGGACAAUCUUUUUCAAAACAACUUCUGCACUAGUUCAGUUAACUGAAAAAUAGGUCAUAGCAGCACCGAGGAACUUCAUUUACAGAGGCAAAUUUCGACUCCUUUUCCUGACUGGCUGAAGACCCCCGGAACUUUGAAGGCCCUGCUUUCCUCUAGGUUCAGAAACCAAAGGUCUUGAAACUCGCUUCGCCAACCCUUUCCAUAGCAUCUUCCUCCCUCGCCAAAAAGAACGGUGGUUCAAUGACCGUGAAUGAAGCCACUGUCCGCCUUCGGGGCAAAGGGCAUCAUAUCAGGGCACGCCGUGGGUACCUCCAAGGUUGGAGUCAAUAGCACCCAGGAGGCAGGCCCGGGCCGGGAGCGAGAGCUCCCUGAGGCCGCGCAGCAGGUGUACCUGAUCCGUGGCAGCAGGUGUGUUUUGCAGGAAAGUACCAAGCGAGAUGGCCGCCCAGGUCAAAGAGAUCGUGGAGAGGCACUUGAACAGGCCUGCGGGCCCUGGGACAAACCUCCAGAGUCCCACCCCAUCCCCGAGUCGCUCACCUGAGGUCUUCCGCCGCGGCCGCGGGUGGCCUAAAGUCCAGGCGCCAGGGGCGUGGAGGGGGCCCGACCACAUUCGCUCUCUUUUCUGGCCAGAGUCCCUCUGGUAGAAACUACAAGGUCCCACCCCAUGAUUAUUUGCCUUUUAUUAACCUAUCAAUCCCCCUGCUAAUGUGGCUAA
Manis pentadactyla (Chinese pangolin) is the source of this 1458-nucleotide long non-coding RNA. RefSeq lists it as uncharacterized. Lineage: Eukaryota; Metazoa; Chordata; Mammalia; Pholidota; Manidae. The record is from RefSeq and is a predicted model, not a curated record. The transcript has 4 exons.